This 1779-nucleotide ribosomal RNA is filed under the name Triticum aestivum (bread wheat). Its description in RNAcentral is "partial small subunit ribosomal RNA". The record is from RNAcentral. Lineage: Eukaryota; Viridiplantae; Streptophyta; Magnoliopsida; Poales; Poaceae.
AUGCAGGAAGAGAUCAGAGGGCACAAAGCACUCACCAGGCUGUUCUUGAUGCUUAUGGAGCUUCUCUGUUUGGUUCUCAGGGGGGGGGGGCAAGAUACCCAGCAGCAACAGUGGCUGACUUCUGGUGCUUGGAACCAAGGGCUGCAUCAUACACACCCCUGGAUGCAAAAUCAGAUGCUUCCUCAUGCUUCUAUGAACAGAACACAAGGGAAUGCCCUGAACAUUCCAGUGAGUGCAGCUAUGUAUGGUAUCUUCAAUAGUCAAGGCAAUACACAGGUAAACUUGCCUGUGAACCUGGGUCCACAUACUUCAGUGGGUGACUCCAACCUAGUGUGUACUGCGCUCCAACCCCUUGCAAACAAAGUCGCUUAUGAAGCCCCCAUGUCAUACACGCAACUCCUACUUGCUGCUGAAGAAGAGGGUGCUAGAUAUGCAUCCUCACAAUCGCAAGUAGAUUGCCUUGUUCGUACUGAGAACGAUAUGUACAUGAUAACUGGGCGAUACAGUAGAUCUUCAGAAGAUCCAUUACAAGCACACACUGGGGGUGGAGCUCAGCAUAUAUCUGGAGUCGAUGACCAACAUGAUAUAGAGCUUGAACCUUUUGUUGACAACCGUUUUUCAGAAAGCUUGAAUGAUUUGAACUGGGACAAUGAAAUGCAGACAGAAGCAGGAGGAAUCAAAAACGGCUCUAUGGUGUCAAAUGAGAUUGCUUCUGACAAUGAUUCUGAUUCCGAGGAUGAUCAUUCUCCAGUGUUGUUGCAAAAAGCCUCUGAGAUUACUGUUACAACUGCUGGAGAAGAAGAAAACAGUGGUGCAGCUGGCGAAGUUCAAAAAUUAACACAGGAUGAUAUACUGAUAUUCCUUGAAAAUGACAGUAUAGAAGCCGCUCAGAGUGCUAGCCAAGAAGUGCGCAGCCAUCACGUACCCCAUGUGGACAUGGUCUUUGAUACAGAUGAUGCAGCUUACAACUUUUACAAUGAGUAUGCCUCAAUUGCUGGUUUUUCUGUGAUCAAAGCAUCUCGAUAUUGUGGCAAGAAACAAGGAGGCAGUGCAGCAACUCGGGUAACUUUCAAGUGCAAUCGGUCAGGAAGAGUAAUUGAUGAAGAAGAACAAGAGAAUAGGAAGAAGAAACGACGUGACACAAGGCAACAGAAAACAGGACAAGAGCCCUAUCGCAACGCAAGGAAGAAAAAAGCAAACACCAUUGCAAUAACAGGGUGUAAAGCUCAGCUCAUUGUCACCAAGAAGGAUGAGAAGUGGGUGAUAACAACCAUAAACCUACAACACAACCAUGAUUUGAGUCCUCACACAGAAGUGAAAUACCUUCGUUCUCAUAACUACAUGACAGAGGAGGAGAAACUCCUAAUCCGAACUUUCAAUGCUGUGAAGCUACCAACAAGACAAAUAAUAGCAAUCCUAAGUGACUUGAGAGGCGGGAACACUCCUUACACCAAAAAGCAUGUAAGCAAUGUUAGAACAGCCAUUGGCAAAGAGAGCAAUCAAGAUGACAUGAUGCAGGUGCUAACAUAUUUCAGGAAGAGACAAGCUGAAGAUCCACAAUUUACUAUGCGUUCAAAACAACUAAAGUCUCUGAUGACGCAAGUAAAGUUUUGUGCAUUUUCUGGGCUGACGGGUAUUCUAGGAAAAUGUACGAGCUGUACGGAGACUGCCUCAGCUUCGACACAACAUUCAAGACAAACAGAUACAACCUCCCAUUUGCUCCCUUUGUUGGUGUCACAGGACAUGGCCAGAACUGUUUGUUUGCUUGCUCUAUCAUAG